CAGGGAUUGCCUCAGUAACGGCGAGUGAAGCGGCAACAGCUCAAAUUUGAAAUCUGACCCCUUCGGGGCCCGAGUUGUAAUUUGUAGAGGGUGUUUCGGGCGCGGUGCCGGUCUAAGUUCCUUGGAACAGGACGUCAUAGAGGGUGAGAAUCCCGUAUGCGACCGGCGACCAAGCCCAUGUGAAGCCCCUUCGACGAGUCGAGUUGUUUGGGAAUGCAGCUCAAAAUGGGUGGUAAAUUCCAUCUAAAGCUAAAUAUUGGCCGGAGACCGAUAGCGGACAAGUAGAGUGAUCGAAAGAUGAAAAGCACUUUGGAAAGAGAGUCAAACAGUACGUGAAAUUGUUGAAAGGGAAGCGCUUGCAAUCAGACCGGUCCGGGGGUGAUCAGCCGCUGCUCGUCAGCUGGUGCACUCGCCUUCGAUCCGGCCAGCAUCGGUUUGGGCGGUGGGAUAAAAGCCUCGGGAAUGUAGCUUCUUUCGGGGAGUCUUAUAGCCCGGGGCGCAAUGCUGCCCGCCUGGACCGAGGACCGCGCUUCGGCUAGGAUGCUGGCGUAAUGGUUGCAAGCGACCCGUCUUGAAACACGGACCAAGGAGUCUAACAUCUAUGCGAGUGUUUGGGUGUCAAACCCAGGCGCGGAAUGAAAGUGAACGGAGGUGGGAGCCCGUCAAACGGUGCACCAUCGACCGAUCCAGAUGUCUUCGGAUGGAUUUGAGUAUGAGCAUAGCUGUUGGGACCCGAAAGAUGGUGAACUAUGCCCGGAUAGGGUGAAGCCAGAGGAAACUCUGGUGGAGGCUCGCAGCGGUUCUGACGUGCAAAUCGAUCGUCAAAUCUAGGCAUAGGGGCGAAAGACCAAUCGAACCAUCUAG
Molecule: ribosomal RNA, 864 nt
Filed under: Lobaria linita
Lineage: Eukaryota; Fungi; Ascomycota; Lecanoromycetes; Peltigerales; Lobariaceae
Description: LSU rRNA
Rfam family: Eukaryotic large subunit ribosomal RNA
Source: RNAcentral